This 773-nucleotide ribosomal RNA is filed under the name uncultured bacterium. Its description in RNAcentral is "bacterial SSU rRNA". It matches the Rfam family "Bacterial small subunit ribosomal RNA", at positions 87 to 862 of the family's 1533-position model. The record is from RNAcentral.
GAUGGCGACCGGCGCACGGGUGAGUAACACGUAUCCAACCUGCCGGUGACUCGGGGAUAGCCUUUCGAAAGAAAGAUUAAUACCCGAUGGCAUAGUUCUUCCGCAUGGUGGAACUAUUAAAGAAUUUCGGUCAUCGAUGGGGAUGCGUUCCAUUAGGUUGUUGGCGGGGUAACGGCCCACCAAGCCUUCGAUGGAUAGGGGUUCUGAGAGGAAGGUCCCCCACAUUGGAACUGAGACACGGUCCAAACUCCUACGGGAGGCAGCAGUGAGGAAUAUUGGUCAAUGGACGAGAGUCUGAACCAGCCAAGUAGCGUGAAGGAUGACUGCCCUAUGGGUUGUAAACUUCUUUUAUACGGGAAUAAAGUGAGGCACGUGUGCCUUUUUGUAUGUACCGUAUGAAUAAGGAUCGGCUAACUCCGUGCCAGCAGCCGCGGUAAUACGGAGGAUCCGAGCGUUAUCCGGAUUUAUUGGGUUUAAAGGGAGCGUAGGCGGACGCUUAAGUCAGUUGUGAAAGUUUGCGGCUCAACCGUAAAAUUGCAGUUGAUACUGGGUGUCUUGAGUACAGUAGAGGCAGGCGGAAUUCGUGGUGUAGCGGUGAAAUGCUUAGAUAUCACGAAGAACUCCGAUUGCGAAGGCAGCUUGCUGGACUGUAACUGACGCUGAUGCUCGAAAGUGUGGGUAUCAAACAGGAUUAGAUACCCUGGUAGUCCACACAGUAAACGAUGAAUACUCGCUGUUUGCGAUAUACAGUAAGCGGCCAAGCGAAAGCGUUA